AGAUUUGGAUUUAAUUAUCGCUAGUAGCAUUCCUUAAUUAUUAUAGAUUUUAUUUAAAGAAGAAAAGAGGAUGUUAAAAAAGGGCCGAUUUUCGCUUAAAAGGGUGUAAGUAAAAAGAAUAGUGAUAGAUGUUGAUUUCUUAAAUACGAUAAAGCUAUUAAAAAAUUUGUGGCGCUUGGGGAACACCUUGAAAACUGAGUAUAAACGUAAAAAUUUGGAUGAUAUAUGCUACGUUAUAUCGCAUAAAAGAUGAAUUAUGUUUAUAAAAAUGAAAAAAUAUGUAAAAUGUAUUCAAUAUCGUAGAAUACGUAUGUUGUAAACGUAUAUUUAGUACAGUACAAAGAGUGAUAAGACUAUAACUGAUCAUCGGCAAUCAGUCGAAUCGAGUCGCAGCGAGCACUUGCGAUAUAACGUAUUAUCACUCUUUGUACUAAAUAUACGUUUACAACAUACGUAUCCUACAAUAUUAGACACAUUUGACAUAUUUUUUCAUUUUUAUAAACAUAAAUUCAUCUUUUAUGCGAUAUAACGUAGCAUACAUCAUCCGAAUUUCUGUAAAUACACCAUGUUUAUGCUCAAUUUUCAAGGUAUUCCCCAAGCGCCACAAACUUUUUAAUAGCUUUAUCGUAUUCAGGAGAUCAAAAUCUACAAAAAAACAUUAUUCCUUUUACUUACACCUUUUUAGGAGAAAAUCAGCCUUUUUUUAUUAACAUCCUCCUUUAAUUCAUAAAUAAGACAAUUAAUUUGUAGAUUAAACAGGUGAAAUAUCCUUCAUUCUACAUAUAAAUAUGUGUAAAUAUGUGUACAUAUGAAUGUGUGUUUUAAUUGAUAGAAGAAAUUGAAAUUAAAUUACAAUAAAUGAGAUUACAUAUAAUUUAAGAUUUAAGUAAUUAUUAAAGUUAAGUUGUAGUUUAAAUUUUUAGUUCUAAAUUUUAUUGUUUAACACUAAAUGACGAGAUUGUUGUUUAUAGAUUGAUGAAAAUGAUGUGUUUAUAAAGGAAAACAUUUUUCCAUAUUGCGAGAGUACCAUUAAUGUGGAUUAUUGCAAGACGAUCGCUUCUAAGUGCGUAGAAAAAGCAAAUCUAUUAGACUCAGGAUCUAACGUUCAAAAAAGCCUAGGUGUAGUAAAAUGUUACUUAAAGAGCGGUUUAGUGGAUUUGAAUGAAGGAUCGAAUGAAGGAACGAAUAAAGGAACGAAUGAAGGAACGAAUAAUGGAA
Temnothorax curvispinosus is the source of this 1218-nucleotide long non-coding RNA. RefSeq lists it as uncharacterized. The record is from RefSeq and is a predicted model, not a curated record. Lineage: Eukaryota; Metazoa; Arthropoda; Insecta; Hymenoptera; Formicidae. The transcript is spliced from 2 exons.